This 927-nucleotide ribosomal RNA is filed under the name Triticum aestivum (bread wheat). RNAcentral describes it as "partial small subunit ribosomal RNA". Lineage: Eukaryota; Viridiplantae; Streptophyta; Magnoliopsida; Poales; Poaceae. The record is from RNAcentral.
AUGGAAGGCUUGAAACCCAUCGUCUUGGUUAACUCCCUCAAAACCGUCGAAAAGGCGGUGAUCCUCUGGCACAGUAACCGGAGCGGCCUUCGCCUCGUCCUCGUCGGAUUGUUUCUGCUCAACCUGGCGCUGACGGCGGCGAUGGUGAAGCUGGCCAGACAGCCCGUCAACCUGGAUUCUGUGCGGCCCUUCUUCGAAAUAGCCGUCAACUCGACCACCACGGGGGUGGGAGCCGGGGCGGACGCCUCGCUCUCCUGGCAACCCAGAUCCUUUGCACACGUAGGCCUAGGGGAAUUCUUCACCGUGUUAUCAAUGAGUGCGGCCAUCAUUUCCUUCUCCUACACACGUAACCGUAAUCUUCCAGAUAACGGGUCACGGAGGAAAUUCAAGAGACUGUGCAGUCUCUUAUUUGCCGGUAUUGGCAUGUUCUUCUACGUAUCAGCAGUUGUGGACUAUCUUGACCUGGACGAUCGCAAGUCCCGCUAUUUCCAAGAACUCUUCGAAUUCUUAUACAUGCUCACCAUUGUUGUUGCUUCAAAAGAAUACACAUCUGGGUUGCUCUCUGCAGCCAACAAGGCAUGUUUGCUCGCCGGGGGAAAGUUCUUGGAGAUAAUUGUGUUGGGUACAAUGACUUUGGUCGUCCAGGACAGUCUGGAUGAUAUCUACGUGGAUGGAAUGCAUUUAUUAUAUCGAAAGGAGCAAGAGGAGACAUCUGACUUAAGGAAGGGCACGGUCGCUAAAAUCUUCUUGAUCUCCAUCGCCCCAGCCUUGCUCACUCUCGUGCUGCAGGUAUUCCAAUGCUCGGUGAUCUUGGCGUUUUACGGUGAUGGCAGACUCCCAGAGGAACAGCAGGGCGAUGGCAACGAUUCCUCGGACGAUGGCGGGAGUGACGGCAGCUCGAGUGAUGGAGGCAAAAAGACCACCUAA